This is a non-coding RNA of Procambarus clarkii (red swamp crayfish), 394 nucleotides long. Lineage: Eukaryota; Metazoa; Arthropoda; Malacostraca; Decapoda; Cambaridae. The record is from RefSeq and is a predicted model, not a curated record.
CCGAUUUGGGCUGAUUUGGGUAAUUCUAUGGACCGGUAGUGAGGGCUUAGAUAAAGAGGUGGAGCAGAGGAAGCUAGGACACAUAAGAAGAGAUUCUAGUGAAACAGCAGGGAAUUAAGAAGAGGUGAACAAGACAGAGAGAAGCUUUCUUCACGUCGUUUUGACGUAAAAAUGCUAGAGAGCAUCUAUGAUGUGUGGCAACAACCUCUAGUCUCAUUGGAAAGGCAACUGAUGACCUUCAACUUUCUUUCCAGAGAGGUGAGUGCGAGGAAUGGUGUGUAUGUGGGCUUGGCUGUGGCUCCGGAUGUGACUAUGGGGAGGGCACUCUAAGCUGUCUGGGGAGUGCGGCCUUGUUGACGACCCCAGCGAGCAGUCUACAGCUGGCAGUGCGCGG